GCGGGCGUGGCGAAAUUGGUAGACGCGCUAGACUUAGGAUCUAGUGUCUUCGACAUGGGGGUUCGAGUCCCUCCGCCCGCA
RNAcentral lists this transfer RNA (81 nucleotides) under Chitinophagaceae bacterium. RNAcentral's name for it is "tRNA-Leu". It matches the Rfam family "tRNA". From Rfam's summary of the family: Transfer RNA (tRNA) molecules are approximately 80 nucleotides in length. Their secondary structure includes four short double-helical elements and three loops (D, anti-codon, and T loops). The record is from RNAcentral. Lineage: Bacteria; Pseudomonadati; Bacteroidota; Chitinophagia; Chitinophagales; Chitinophagaceae. RNAcentral also lists the same sequence under 1 other name.